AGUGAACGCUGGCGGUAGGCCUAACACAUGCAAGUCGAACGGCAGCACAGUAAGAGCUUGCUCUUACGGGUGGCGAGUGGCGGGCGAGUGAGGCGUGCAUCGGAUUCUACUUUUUCGUGGGGGAUAACGUAGGGCAACUUACGCUAAUGCCGAAUACGACCUACGGCUGAAAGCAGCGGAUCUUCGGACCUUGCGCGAUUGAAUGAGCCGAUGUCGGAUUAGCUAGUUGGCGGGGUAAAGGCCCACCAAGGCGACGAUCCGUAGCUGGUCUGAGAGGAUGAUCGGCCACACUGGAACUGAGACACGGUCCAGACUCCUACGGGAGGCAGCAGUGGGGAAUAUUGGGCAAUGGGCGAAAGCCUGAUUCAGCCAUACCGCGUGAGUGAAGAAGGUCUUCGGGUUGUAAAGCCCUUUUGUUAGGAAAGAAAAGCAGCAGAUUAAAACCUCGAUGUUCUGACGGUACCCAAAGAGUAAGCAACGGCUAACUUCGUG
RNAcentral lists this ribosomal RNA (492 nucleotides) under uncultured bacterium. RNAcentral describes it as "partial 16S ribosomal RNA". It matches the Rfam family "Bacterial small subunit ribosomal RNA", at positions 29 to 507 of the family's 1533-position model. The record is from RNAcentral.